GGCCUAACACAUGCAAGUCGAGCGGAAACGACACUAACAAUCCUUCGGGUGCGUUAAUGGGCGUCGAGCGGCGGACGGGUGAGUAAUGCCUAGGAAAUUGCCUUGAUGUGGGGGAUAACCAUUGGAAACGAUGGCUAAUACCGCAUAAUGCCUACGGGCCAAAGAGGGGGACCUUCGGGCCUCUCGCGUCAAGAUAUGCCUAGGUGGGAUUAGCUAGUUGGUGAGGUAAUGGCUCACCAAGGCGACGAUCCCUAGCUGGUCUGAGAGGAUGAUCAGCCACACUGGAACUGAGACACGGUCCAGACUCCUACGGGAGGCAGCAGUGGGGAAUAUUGCACAAUGGGCGAAAGCCUGAUGCAGCCAUGCCGCGUGUAUGAAGAAGGCCUUCGGGUUGUAAAGUACUUUCAGUUGUGAGGAAGGGGGUAGCGUUAAUAGCGCUAUCUCUUGACGUUAGCAACAGAAGAAGCACCGGCUAACUCCGUGCCAGCAGCCGCGGUAAUACGGAGGGUGCGAGCGUUAAUCGGAAUUACUGGGCGUAAAGCGCAUGCAGGUGGUUCAUUAAGUCAGAUGUGAAAGCCCGGGGCUCAACCUCGGAACUGCAUUUGAAACUGGUGAACUAGAGUACUGUAGAGGGGGGUAGAAUUUCAGGUGUAGCGGUGAAAUGCGUAGAGAUCUGAAGGAAUACCAGUGGCGAAGGCGGCCCCCUGGACAGAUACUGACACUCAGAUGCGAAAGCGUGGGGAGCAAACAGGAUUAGAUACCCU
This 764-nucleotide ribosomal RNA is filed under the name Vibrio sp. UCH-79. RNAcentral describes it as "bacterial SSU rRNA". It matches the Rfam family "Bacterial small subunit ribosomal RNA", at positions 45 to 788 of the family's 1533-position model. Lineage: Bacteria; Pseudomonadati; Pseudomonadota; Gammaproteobacteria; Vibrionales; Vibrionaceae. The record is from RNAcentral.